CUAAAGCUUCUCAAAACCACCCGCCUCCCUUUCGUCCCUCUCAACCCGCCUCCCUCUCUUUCUCUCUCACUUUCGUCCCUCAAACCCGCAAUUUCGUCCCUCAAACCCUAAAAUUUCGUCCCUCAAACGCAUCAGGAAGUCCCUCUCUUUGUCUCUCACUUUCGUCCCUCUUCUUCACGUCGAACACGUUCUCUUCAACAUCUGCUUCAGUUCGCAUCAACCGACGAUCGAAUCUUCGACGUCAUGAACUUCAGUGAGCGAUCUUCAGCGUCGACGACACCAACAACACUUCGAACAACGAACGAAUCUUCAGCGAACGGACGAAUCUUCAGAAUUCAGAUCUUGUUUGAAGACCUCGUGUUUUCAUUUCCGUUAAUUUUUCGAAGAACUCGUUUUUUCAUCCUAAAAUCUCCAGAUGUGUUCGAAGUAUAACAACGAGAUGGAAGGUCAAGAUGUGAAGGAAGCUCCAACAUUUUUUUUACUAUUAUUGAUAGAUUUGUUUUUAUGAAUUAUUGUAAUAUAUAUGUUCUAAAAUUCGAAGCAUUUUCGUUUUUAUUUUUCCAGAUCUGGUCGAAUUUUUGUACAGUAUUGUUAUUAGUUUUAUUUGAUUUUCAAUCCUCUA
Molecule: long non-coding RNA, 622 nt
Organism: Beta vulgaris subsp. vulgaris (sugar beet)
Lineage: Eukaryota; Viridiplantae; Streptophyta; Magnoliopsida; Caryophyllales; Amaranthaceae
Exons: 3
Source: RefSeq, a predicted model, not a curated record